This is a small nucleolar RNA of Panicum virgatum (switchgrass), 107 nucleotides long. The record is from RefSeq and is a predicted model, not a curated record. Lineage: Eukaryota; Viridiplantae; Streptophyta; Magnoliopsida; Poales; Poaceae.
AUGCUGUGGUGGGGGCAUGUUGCAAUGCUCUCCUGGAAUCUCUCCCAAGCUUCUGGAAUGGCUUCAUCCGAAAGCUGCUGAAAGCCAGAGAUCUUGCCUCGGAGGGC